This 326-nucleotide ribosomal RNA is filed under the name uncultured bacterium. RNAcentral describes it as "bacterial SSU rRNA". It matches the Rfam family "Bacterial small subunit ribosomal RNA", at positions 28 to 334 of the family's 1533-position model. The record is from RNAcentral.
GAUGAACGCUGGCGGCGUGCUUAACACAUGCAAGUCGAACGGAGUGCUCAUGACGGAGGAUUCGUCCAACGGAUUGAGUUACUUAGUGGCGGACGGGUGAGUAACGCGUGAGGAACCUGCCUCGGAGUGGGGAAUAACAGACCGAAAGGCCUGCUAAUACCGCAUAAGCCCACGACCCGGCAUCGGGUUGAGGGAAAAGGAGCAAUCCGCUUUGAGAUGGCCUCGCGUCCGAUUAGCUAGUUGGUGAGGUAACGGCCCACCAAGGCGACGAUCGGUAGCCGGACUGAGAGGUUGAACGGCCACAUUGGGACUGAGACACGGCCCAG